RNAcentral lists this transfer RNA (87 nucleotides) under Caudoviricetes sp. Its description in RNAcentral is "tRNA-Ser". It matches the Rfam family "tRNA". Rfam says of the family: Transfer RNA (tRNA) molecules are approximately 80 nucleotides in length. Their secondary structure includes four short double-helical elements and three loops (D, anti-codon, and T loops). Lineage: Duplodnaviria; Heunggongvirae; Uroviricota; Caudoviricetes. The record is from RNAcentral.
GGAAUGGUACUCAAGUGGUUAAGAGGGGCCCCUGCUAAGGGCCUAGGCGUGUAACAGCGUGCGUAGGUUCAAAUCCUACCCAUUCCG